UGCCAUCCUAUUGAAUUAUGGCUUGAAU
This 28-nucleotide non-coding RNA is filed under the name Rattus norvegicus (Norway rat). The record is from RNAcentral. Lineage: Eukaryota; Metazoa; Chordata; Mammalia; Rodentia; Muridae.